RNAcentral lists this ribosomal RNA (447 nucleotides) under uncultured bacterium. RNAcentral's name for it is "SSU rRNA". It matches the Rfam family "Bacterial small subunit ribosomal RNA", at positions 26 to 518 of the family's 1533-position model. The record is from RNAcentral.
AGAGCGAACGCUGGCGGCAGGCCUAACACAUGCAAGUCGAGCGCCCGUAGCAAUACGGGAGCGGCAGACGGGAUAGUAACACGUGGGAACGCGCCCUUCGGUUCGGAAUAACUCAGGGAAACUUGAGCUAAUACCGAAUACGCCCUUACGGGGAAAGAUUUAUUGCCGAAGGAACGGCCCGCGUCCGAUUAGCUAGUUGGUGAGGUAAUGGCUCACCAAGGCUACGAUCGGUAGCUGGUCUGAGAGGAUGACCAGCAUCACUGGGACUGAGACACGGCCCAGACUCCUACGAGAGGCAGCAGUGGGGAAUAUUGGACAAUGGGCGCAAGCCUGAUCCAGCCAUGCCGCGUGGAUGAUGAAGGCCUUAGGGUUGUAAAGUCCUUUUAACGGGGAAGAUAAUGACGGUACCCGUAGAAUAAGCCCGGCUAACUUCGUGCCAGCAGCCGC